GGUCAAGUUUUUAAGGGCACACGGUGGAUGCCUUGGCAUCAGGAGCCGAUGAAGGACGUAGGAAUCUGCGAUAAGCCUGGGG
Arthrobacter cupressi is the source of this 82-nucleotide ribosomal RNA. It matches the Rfam family "Bacterial large subunit ribosomal RNA", at positions 1 to 82 of the family's 2925-position model. Lineage: Bacteria; Bacillati; Actinomycetota; Actinomycetes; Micrococcales; Micrococcaceae. The record is from Rfam.